RNAcentral lists this unclassified non-coding RNA (2424 nucleotides) under Octopus sinensis (East Asian common octopus). Its description in RNAcentral is "monocarboxylate transporter 5-like, transcript variant X3". The record is from RNAcentral. Lineage: Eukaryota; Metazoa; Mollusca; Cephalopoda; Octopoda; Octopodidae.
GCGUGUGUGUGUGUGUGUAAGGAGACCUUUACCCCGAUGUGGGUGAGAAACAAAUGACCGAUUUGAUUGAGUCUCACAUACACAAACACACUAUUUCUCUGUCUCUCUCUCUCUCCCUUUCUCUUUCUCUCUCUCUCUUUCUGACACACACACAUAUACACAUACAUGCGACAGAGAUAGCACGCGAGAUAGAAAGAGUAAGAGAAUCAGCGAUAUUUAACUCCAAUUUCUCUAUUACUUCGUCAACAAUAACAACGACAACGACGACGAUAACAACAAGAACAGCUAUUUUCCUUCAUAGUAAAGUACCUCAACAGUAGCGAAACAUUGAACCAACCUCGGCAGGCGAUACAACCAACAAAUUCAAGCGAUCGUUCGCUUCUGAAACCGGUCGCAAAGAACAAACGACUAAAACAAUAUGGAGGCUGAAGCAAUUCCGCUACGAAAUCCAACCAGCGAAGUCGAGUGUCAAAAUGUAGGAAACAUUUCGAAAACUAUGAAUUGUCAAGAGAAGACGAAACCACCACUGUCCAUUGGUCAGAAAGUAGAAUUGGUUUUCGUAGUAUUUUCUGGUUUUGUCAUCAAUUUUAUGGUGUUUGGUUUUGCUGCCAGCCUAUCGGUGUAUUUCGUAAAAUAUAAACGGGCCUUUCCGAUGCAUUAUGAAAUGGUUUUAUUAACAAUAUUUUUGCAAACUGGUAUUUUCUCUACUGUAGGUAUGCUGGCAGGAAUGUUCCUCCACAAAUUCGGAGUACGAGCCACAGCAGUCUUGGGAAGCGUUCUGCUCAGCUUAGGAGUCGGUGCCUCUUGUUUUGCACCCAACAUCAUAUUUCUUAUGUGUUUCUUUGGAAUUGUAAGCGGUGUUGGGUCUUCGUUUCUAUUUUGCUCGAUGAAUGUGGGUGUUGCUUCGUAUCUGGAAAAUUCUGGUCGACAUCUUAUGCCUUUAGUAGAUAUGGGAGGAUCAGCUGGUGGCGUAGUUUGCCCGCCUUUGAUUUCUUAUUUAAUCGAUUUUUACGGUUGGCGGGGAAGCUUAUUGAUAUUUGCCGCCAUUGCCUUAAAUUCUUUACCUUGCGGUUUAAUGUAUUCCAUUAAGAAUAGAAUGGACAACAACGAUAAAAAUUCAAAACAACGUCAAGAUUCAUAUGGAGAAAAGGACAUCGACAAUAUUUACAAACUGUUAUCCACCGACAUCGAAGAAGCGGGGAAAGCGGAUAGUUGUUACGUUGAACAUAACAGCGAGCAACUUCUGCUUCAAUCCAACAACAGUCACUGUGCAGAAGAAACGGGAGAUUUAGCAAGAAACGAUACGUCAUCAGAUCACUGCUUGGCUACUACACCAGCCAUAGACGACAGCUCAUCACUGAACCGUGAACACUCGAAAACUAAUGACCAAGUAGAAGAUACUAAAAAUACAACCUGUGAAAUUAGCCCAAAAGCUCUAUUUCUCUCGAUUUUUUCCAAUAAAGGUUUUCUUUUAUUUGUUCUAACUAUGACAGUAGUAGUCAGUUCAGAACUCACAUUAUCAGCAAUGACGUCCGAUUUCUUCGUCAGCAAAGGUACGACUCGCUCAGAAGCUGCACAAAUUUAUGGAAUCGGUUUUACUGGUGAAAUUAUAGCCCACAUUUCUAGUACAUGGAUGCUUUAUAAAAACAAAACGCUAAGUUUACUUAUUUUUUGCAUAUCUGCUAUAUUAAGUGGAGCUUUGGUUACGAUAUAUCCUUCCAUUCCUACGAUGACAUCACUGUCGUCUGCUGGAUCGGCAAUAUUUUUAACAAUGUGUGAAAUGACUGCUCACGGACAUUACCAGGCUGUAUGCAUCCUUGUUAUUUUGGAAUUUUUCGAUGAGAAGCGAUAUCCAUUUGCCAUAGGUUUCACUAUGACAGUUUCGGGAAUUUUCGUUCCCAUUUUCGGAUACAUAUUUGGUAUUAUCACUCAAUACAACAACAACGACUACACCGUCAGCUUUUAUCUUCUGGGCUCCUUAAUUGUGAUCUUUACUUUGCCAACAUUUAUACGUUUUCUUGUUAAACGAGAAAAGUCUAAGAGAAAAGAAACCCAUCAAAAGAACUUGGAAGUAAAUUUAAAAGACUUUUAAAUUCAAAGGACAUUUUACUAACUUUCACUUUUAAAGAAGACAAAAAUAAUCUGUUGAUGCAGUCUUCUUAUCUCACAGUUCGUCCUUGGAAAUCUUGUCAGAAUAUGGAAGGUGUGUAAAAAGUUUGUCUUGAAGAACAGCACAGGAAAAAACGUAAAAAAAAAAAAGAUAAUUUAUUAAAAGAGAAUACGGGGGAACUUAAUGCUGUUCAGCUUUGGCAAAGAAGUUAUGGAAAUAUAAUAAACAGUCGAGUAAAUUAUAUAUCACGAAGAAGAAGAAAAAAAGCUAACGUUUUUCGAAGACAAUAAUAAAGCAAAUCACUGAUGUACGAA